This 253-nucleotide ribosomal RNA is filed under the name uncultured bacterium. RNAcentral describes it as "partial 16S ribosomal RNA". It matches the Rfam family "Bacterial small subunit ribosomal RNA", at positions 524 to 776 of the family's 1533-position model. The record is from RNAcentral.
UACGUAGGGGGCAAGCGUUGUCCGGAUUUAUUGGGCGUAAAGAGCUCGUAGGCGGUUUGUCGCGUCGAAUGUGAAAUCCCGGGGCUCAACCCCGGGUCUGCAUUCGAUACGGGCAGACUAGAGUUCGGUAGGGGAGUCUGGAAUUCCUGGUGUAGCGGUGAAAUGCGCAGAUAUCAGGAGGAACACCGGUGGCGAAGGCGGGACUCUGGGCCGAUACUGACGCUGAGGAGCGAAAGCGUGGGGAGCAAACAGG